GUUUUGAGUGCAGCAAAGGCGCGAGUUUCUGAAACUGGUAGCAAACUUUUCUGACGGCUUCAAACUCAAGAAUGCCUGUCAGAAGAGCUGUGCACAUGGACAAAACCCAGAAUCAUCCAGCAUCUGCAAUACCAGUCCCUGCAGGAAACUUCCCAUUUUUGACUGGAGCUGCAAGUUCUUAAGCAGUCAGCAGAGGGCAGCAGUGAACAAGGACGUUUCUUCUCUACAUCUGCAGAUUUGAAGACCAGGCUUCAGAGAUAUAGAGGGCUGAGUGGUCUCAGGAGGAGAGAUAACUUCUACAACUUUGUGAAAACAAUUAUGAGCUGAGAUUUUUGUUAGCGAGGCAUCUCGGCUGUUGACAGCUAAUGGAAUUGCUCUUCACCUCUUGUGCGUAUGAUCCCGCGGAGAUAAGGCAGGAGAUGAAUGUGGAAUCUGCGCUGUCAGUUGUGAGGCUGAGCUGUCCUGGAAGACGUCAUUCAUUUGUGGAGGAAGCGCCUGAAACGGUAAGAGCGAAUCCUCUGACAUGUCAGACCCCGUCUCUGUGCCGGAGCCUCUGUCUGGCAGCUGACAAAUGUUGAUUCUACAUUAACCACAAUGCUGCAACGCUGUGCAAAUAAUGUUCUUUCAGAUGGCAACCCUCAUCCCCUUUAUGGCGAAAACUAUGCAAUCCUCCCCACCUGUGCAGUUUAACACCUUUUGAAAAGUAAAUGUGGGGGGGCAAACUGUCUUACACAACACAGUAGUCUCUUUAUUUGGCAGCGCCUGGGAAGGCCGAGGCCUCUCACUGCCCGAGUCGACCUAAGCAACAGCUGGUGUUCACAGCAACAUUUCCUAUUUCUGCCUAAGGUGGAUCGUGUAACUCUCACUUUAUCACCCUUAGAGGCCAUGUGAAGGACAAAGCCAGCACACCCAUAAACAAAACUAAUGUUUUGAUACAGGCCACUUUGGAGACUGAUAGAAGGAACCGUGGUGCUUUGAACGCUCCCCUACCACCCCUGACCAAUAUAAAUAAUCUCAUACCUCUACAACUUGUUUUCAUGAAAGGUUGUUGUCUAAAACUGUGAGCUCUUCUGAUCUAUACAAGAGUUUUGGUAACCAAGAGGGAAAUUUUCCCAAUAGUACAAACUUUUAGCUGAGAGGAUACAAUAUUUACACACUCUAUGUCUUUCAGUAGUCCUAAAGUCAGAGUCAUAGUAACAUGAUAUAAAGCAUCCUGGAUAGCGAUGCAGCAGCUAGGUGGUGACAGAGGCUUUAUUUUUACUGUGGCUUAAAACUGGAAAAUACAAGCUGUUGUGUACUUAUCUGACUUUUUUAAAUGUUAAGAGCACGCGAAGUUGACGCUUUUCCACAGACUAAACUUAUUAAAUGUGAUAUUUAUACACGACUUUACAGCUAUAAAACCAAAUCUGUCUCUGUACAACAGAGUGGUGUAAACACAGGCACGCAAGACUGUUUGUUGCUGCAUUGAGGAUUAUAUUACAUUAUCACCAUCUGUGAUUGGGAAUAUGAAUACACAUAAUGCAGUGUUUUGUUUGUCUGGUUUUAUGUAUAGUUUUUGAGGUGAUGUAUGAUAUAUUUCAUUUUAAAACUACAUCCAACACUAAUUUGCACGAUGAGUUAAUGUUUUGAUCUUUUUUUGUAUUAAUCAAUUCCUCCUCUCAAAAUAGUGUAAAUGUCCAUGAUAACUUUAGGCAGUCCAGUCCUCAAAUCACUUGUUUUGUCCCUCUAACAGAAAAAAAAUACCAAACAAUAUUGGUAUGACAAUGAUAUAAAUCACAAAGAAGCAGAAGAUUCUCACAUUUGAGAGGCUCAAACCAAAGAAUUUUUAGAUUGAAAAUCUUGUGCUUGCAAAACAAUCUUUUGGUACAAGUUCAAUUCAGUGGCUGAUCUGCAGUCUUUGAUUAUUUAGCUAAUCUUCCUACUAAAAAUUAUACCAGAAAUGAUAGUUUUCAAUGUGCUGAUUUGUUUACUUGUAUUAUAUUUCUUAUCUCAUUGGAAAAGUAAAUUCUUACUUUCCUUCACAUCUUUUCCGAUGAACUGUCGUGAUGUGUAAUAAACAUGUAUAAUAGAAGAGCAAGCCAACGCCUUUCACACAACCUCUAAUUGGCCCCUUGUGUUCAUGCCCAUUGCAUUAAGAGUUAACUCAGAUCUUGGGCUCCUAUUUGUCCCUUCAGCCCAUUACUGGCUGCCGGCCCGGAGCCUCAGAUGCACAGGAAACCCUCGCUGACCUGAUAACAUUUAUAGUUGUAAUGGAUUUUUUUAUGCCUGUCAUUAACUCGCAGAGAGAUUGGAGAAAGAAAUUGCUUGUACCUUUUUCUGUGGUAUUUCAACUUUAUAGCAUUAUGUUCAGAUAUGUCACCUUCCAUCAUCUAUUUUUAAGGCCUCUCGCGUCACUGGUUUUGUUUUAAAUGUACAAGUCUUUUGUGCUGGACCCUUGUAGUAUCAAGGACUUGUAAUGAAUAUUUAAUGAUGUUGAG
Long non-coding RNA from Amphiprion ocellaris (clown anemonefish), 2477 nucleotides. RefSeq lists it as uncharacterized. The record is from RefSeq and is a predicted model, not a curated record. The transcript has 6 exons. Lineage: Eukaryota; Metazoa; Chordata; Actinopteri; Pomacentridae.